Bos taurus (domestic cattle) is the source of this 2045-nucleotide long non-coding RNA. The record is from Ensembl. Lineage: Eukaryota; Metazoa; Chordata; Mammalia; Artiodactyla; Bovidae.
CUGAUUUCCAGUGGGCUGCUCUCUAAAGGCCUCCCAUGUCCUUCAGGGCUGCAGACUCAGACACUGGCCUGGUUCAGUGAACGCUAGGAUCCAGGCCCCUCUGCUCAGCUGAAGAGCAUCUGGGGGGCAAUGCCCCUGCUCCAGGUCAACGACAAAGGCUUCCUCUCAGACCUCAAACCCCUGAGGCUGCCGCUCACCCCUCCCCAGCUCCCCUAGGGACCCAUGGGGUGCGCAAGCCACUCUCAGCUCCAGGUGACUCUGACUUCAUCGUAUGCAUCAAACUCUGCCUCCUGAAGAUGAACUAUAUUCUCAUAGGCCUCUCAUGAGACACCUCUGCUGGGAGAGCUGGAAGCAUGAAAAAAAUCUGACUCACUGGAAGAGUCGACUCAUUGGAAAAAAAAAAAAACUCUGAAGCUGGGAAAGACUGAAGGCAGGAGAAGGGGACCACAGAGGAUGAGAUGGUUGGAUGGCAUCAGUGACUCAAUGGACAUGAGUCUGAGCAAGCUCCAGGAGGUGGUGAAGGACAGGGAAGCCUGGUGUGCUGUAGUCCAUGGAGUCACAAAGAGUCAAACACAACUGAGCAACCGAACAACUUACGAGACAGCUCUGCUUGGAGAGCUGGAAGCAUGAAAAAUCCCAGGAACCCCAGGUUUGGCUAAGAAGGAACAACUCCAGAUUAAUAACAGAAUCUCUGGAUGGCCUUGGGCAGGAGCAUGGAGGGCGGAAGAGCCUCACUGGCCAGUUGUCAGCACCUCCAUCUCUUCUGAAGGGCAGACUGAGGGCAAGGGAAAGUCAAGCGUUCAGACAGGCCUCCCAACUCCCAACCCAGAGAGAAAAGGUCAUGUCUGGGGACCUAGGGGAAAACUGACCUUCCCUAGGAGAGGCCCCUGCAGUUUCAUAUCCGCCCCACCCCGCUACCCUUCCUUCCAGCCUUGCACGCCAACCAGCCUGGAACACCUCCCUGCACAGCCUAAGUGGCAAUGGUUGGGUCAAGAUGCAGCCCUGGUGGUCCAGAGGCCGCGUCAGUGGAAGGAAAUCUACCCUCACCCCCACCUCAGGGCUGAACUGGGCAGAGCCUGCCAGGAAUAGGGCAGAGCCUGCUCGGUUUAAAGAACCGACAGAGGUUGCAGGAGCAGCUUUGCAUUCAGGAAAAUGCAUUGAGCUGAGGCCAGGUCCGAGUCUGAGUCAGCUCUGUCCCUUUUGGAGGCAUGGCCUGGGGUCCAGCCCUGGGCUGGGCUCAGUUUCCAUUCUGAGGGGUCUGGGUGGCUCCUGAGGCCCCUCCUGUUUGGAUUGUCGGUGUUGCCAGCUCUGUGCGAGCUGGGAAUCAAGGGAGAAUGGCCAAGGUUGGCGGCUACCGAGGAUUCCCUAACAAUGGUAGGAAGACCAAAUUCCCAGGGGGGCCCAAGGGUAUAAGGAUGGCUUUCUAACUAGGCCAACCAGGACCUGGUACAAGGAAGGCCUUCAGUCUUGGCCCUGACCCCGGGGCAGGUCUAGACAACCACUUUCAUUCCCCUUCAUCAGAUGGGUUCAUGAAAGUCCUUUGGAAAGUCCUUUAGGGACGGCUGUGUUGAGGCUGGGAAGACAGCGGGGCAGGGGGAUUGAGAACUUCAGCGGGUGAAUGGAUGACCAGAGUGGUCCCUGAGCCCCCUUCCCUAGCCCCCUCUGAGCCCCCAUCCUCCUUGCCAGGUCUGUGUCCCUCUCUGAUCCUCCACUCCCUCACUACAACCCCCUCCCAGCACCAAGCCCCUUCUUCCACACUGGAACUCCCUCCUUUCUGGGAGUUCUCCCACUUCUCUGAACCCCUACAUCCAUCACCAAGCUCUCCCGCUUUUGGAGCUUCCUCCCCCACCUCUCUGGGCCCUGGAGGCAGAGCUAUCCUUCCACAAUCCCCUUGGUGGCCCUGUUAAAGAUCUCAAAAAACAAAAGAACAAAAACAAAACCCUUCUCUAGGUGUGACCAGCCUGAAAGGCUUGAACCCUGGAAGGGGUCUCAAAGGCCAGUCCCUUAGCUGGAGCCCCAAGGCUCUGGGUUGGGUGGGGCAGAAC